This 253-nucleotide ribosomal RNA is filed under the name uncultured bacterium. RNAcentral describes it as "partial 16S ribosomal RNA". It matches the Rfam family "Bacterial small subunit ribosomal RNA", at positions 524 to 776 of the family's 1533-position model. The record is from RNAcentral.
UACGGGGGGGGCAAGCGUUGUUCGGAUUUAUUGGGCGUAAAGAGCGUGUAGGCGGCCUGCCAGGUCUGCUGUGAAAACUCGAGGCUCAACCUCGAGAUGUCGGCGGAAACCGUCUGGCUAGAGUCCGGAAGAGGAGAGUGGAAUUCCUGGUGUAGCGGUGAAAUGCGCAGAUAUCAGGAAGAACACCUAUGGCGAAGGCAGCUCUCUGGGACGGUACUGACGCUGAGACGCGAAAGCGUGGGGAGCGAACAGG